GGUGGCUCAAUGGUAGAGCACUUGCCUUGCAUGCAUGAGGCCCUGGGUUCUAUUCCCCAGCACCA
RNAcentral lists this transfer RNA (65 nucleotides) under Dipodomys ordii (Ord's kangaroo rat). It matches the Rfam family "tRNA". Rfam says of the family: Transfer RNA (tRNA) molecules are approximately 80 nucleotides in length. Their secondary structure includes four short double-helical elements and three loops (D, anti-codon, and T loops). Further hydrogen bonds mediate the characteristic L-shaped molecular structure. tRNAs have two regions of fundamental functional importance: the anti-codon, which is responsible for specific mRNA codon recognition, and the 3' end, to which the tRNAs corresponding amino acid is attached (by aminoacyl-tRNA synthetases). tRNAs cope with the degeneracy of the genetic code in two manners: having more than one tRNA (with a specific anti-codon) for a particular amino acid; and 'wobble' base-pairing, i.e. permitting non-standard base-pairing at the 3rd anti-codon position. Lineage: Eukaryota; Metazoa; Chordata; Mammalia; Rodentia; Heteromyidae. The record is from Rfam by way of RNAcentral.